This 542-nucleotide ribosomal RNA is filed under the name uncultured Micromonas. RNAcentral's name for it is "bacterial SSU rRNA". It matches the Rfam family "Bacterial small subunit ribosomal RNA", at positions 76 to 652 of the family's 1533-position model. The record is from RNAcentral. Lineage: Eukaryota; Viridiplantae; Chlorophyta; Mamiellophyceae; Mamiellales.
GUCUUCGGACUGCGGAAGAGUGGCGAACGGGUGAGGAACACGUAAGAAUCUGUCCCUCGGUCGGGGACAACUCUUGGAAACGAGAGCUAAUACCCGAUACGCUGUGGAGUGAAAGAAUUUCGCCGAGGGAUGAUCUUGCGUCUGAUUAGCUAGUUGGUGUGGUAACUGCACACCAAGGCGACGAUCAGUAGCUGGUCUGAGAGGAUGGACAGCCACAUUGGAACUGAGACACGGUCCAAACUCCUACGGGAGGCAGCAGUGGGGAAUUUUCCGCAAUGGACGAAAGUCUGACGGAGCGACGCUGCGUGGAGGAUGACGGCCCGCGGGUUGUAAACUUCUUUUCUCGAAGAAGAAACAAAUGACGGUAUUCGAGGAAUAAGCAUCGGCUAACUCCGUGCCAGCAGCCGCGGUAAGACGGAGGAUGCAAGUGUUAUUCGGAAUGAUUGGGCGUAAAGAGUCUGUAGGCUGUAUAGAAAGUCUUUUGUUAAAUUCCUCGGCUCAACCGAGAUCAAGCAAAGGAAACUUCUAUACUUGAGGGAAGU